This 252-nucleotide ribosomal RNA is filed under the name Dialister succinatiphilus YIT 11850. RNAcentral's name for it is "partial 16S ribosomal RNA". It matches the Rfam family "Bacterial small subunit ribosomal RNA", at positions 524 to 776 of the family's 1533-position model. Lineage: Bacteria; Bacillati; Bacillota; Negativicutes; Veillonellales; Veillonellaceae. The record is from RNAcentral.
UACGUAGGUGGCAAGCGUUGUCCGGAAUUAUUGGGCGUAAAGCGCGCGCAGGCGGCUUCUUAAGUCCAUCUUAAAAGUGCGGGGCUUAACCCCGUGAUGGGAUGGAAACUGGGAGGCUGGAGUAUCGGAGAGGAAAGUGGAAUUCCUAGUGUAGCGGUGAAAUGCGUAGAGAUUAGGAAGAACACCAGUGGCGAAGGCGACUUUCUGGACGACAACUGACGCUGAGGCGCGAAAGCGUGGGGAGCAAACAGG